GGAUUAGGCAUGCAAGUCGCACGAGAAAGGUUUCUUCGGAAGCCGAGUAAAGUGGCGAACGGGUGAGUAAUGCAUAGACAACUUACCCUUGAGAUGGGGACAACGCCUCGAAAGGGGUGCUAAUACCCAAUGCCGCCUUGGGCCUGCGGGCUCAGGGUGAAAGGAGGCCUCUGAUUCAAGCUUCCGCUCAAGGAGAGGUUUAUGUCCUAUUAGCUAGUUGGCGGGGUAACGGCCCACCAAGGCUGCGAUGGGUAGCCGACCUGAGAGGGUGACCGGCCACAUUGGGACUGAGACACUGCCCAGACCCCUACGGGAGGCUGCAGUCGAGAAUCUUCCGCAAUGCGCGCAAGCGUGACGGAGCGACGCCGCGUGGGUGAUGAAGGCCUUCGGGUUGUAAAACCCUGUCAGCUACUACGAAACACGGGCGAUGAACAAUUGUCCCGUUUGACUUAAGUAGCAGAGGAAGCACCGGCUAACUACGUGCCAGCAGCCGCGGUAAUACGUAGGGUGCAAACGUUGUUCGGAAUCACUGGGCAUAAAGGGCGCGUAGGCGGUCUGAUAAGUCAGGUGUGAAAUCCCUCGGCCUAACCGAGGAACUGCACUUGAUACUGUCGGGCUAGAGUACAGGAGGGGAGAGUGGAAUUCCUGGUGGAGCGGUGAAAUGCGUAGAUAUCAGGAGGAACGCCGGCGGCGAAAGCGACUCUCUGGCCUGUUACUGACGCUGAGGCGCGAAAGCUAGGGGAGCAAACGGGAUUAGAUACCCCGGUAGUCCUAGCCCUAAACGAUGGGCACUAAGUAGAGGGGUUUU
Molecule: ribosomal RNA, 808 nt
Filed under: uncultured Planctomycetota bacterium
Lineage: Bacteria; Pseudomonadati; Planctomycetota
Description: bacterial SSU rRNA
Rfam family: Bacterial small subunit ribosomal RNA
Source: RNAcentral